GACAGAGGGUGCAAACGUUGUUCGGAAUUACUGGGCAUAAAGCGCACGUAGGCGGUCCGCUAAGUCGCGUGUGAAAUCCCCCGGCUCAACCGGGGAAUUGCGCGCGAUACUGGCGGGCUCGAGAUCGGGAGGGGUGAGUGGAACUCCAGGUGGAGCGGUGAAAUGCGUAGAUAUCUGGAGGAACACCGGUGGCGAAAGCGGCUCACUGGCCCGAUACUGACGCUGAGGUGCGAAAGCUAGGGUAGCAAACGGG
RNAcentral lists this ribosomal RNA (253 nucleotides) under uncultured bacterium. RNAcentral describes it as "partial 16S ribosomal RNA". It matches the Rfam family "Bacterial small subunit ribosomal RNA", at positions 524 to 776 of the family's 1533-position model. The record is from RNAcentral.